Molecule: long non-coding RNA, 752 nt
Filed under: Equus caballus (horse)
Lineage: Eukaryota; Metazoa; Chordata; Mammalia; Perissodactyla; Equidae
Description: lncRNA (ENSECAG00000059770.1)
Source: RNAcentral
GAAGGUUUUAUGAGGCACAAGAAGCUUGCCUUUGUCAGAGAGGCUCAGUGAGGUUUCUGGACUGUUCUGGCACAUCUUUUACAUACACAAAUUUUGGUGACUCUGGCCAAGUGCCUGCCUGCUCAGCUGGUGUGAAAAUGGAUGCAAAAAUAUGAAGAGAGAGAGAAAAAGACAGACAGAGAGAUAUCCCCUUUAUUCUGAGUAUCCUUCCGAAGACCAGCUGUGUCAAGAGUCCUGACUCUGAACUGCUGAGAUGGAUGCCUCUUUCCCACAAGCAGCAGCCAUGUUGUCCCAGGAGGACCGACCCUGGGCUUUCUUCUUUUGGGGGUCACUCCUGGCUGUCAUUGACUUGGCCUUGCAGGGACUAGUCACUUCUCACUGGUCCUUUAACUCUUCCUUCGCUCCCUCCACCCAAACCUGAAGCUGCGGCAUCUGCUUCAAUCACCUGGGCAAAUGCAAGACCAUUGGCGCGAGAAUUAGCUCUAUGCUGGAGUGUCAUCUGCUUGCCUCAUUCUCCCGCUCUUGGCUUCUCCUCUCCUGACUCUGCUGGCUCCUUCUGUGAAGGCACCUCUUCUCCCCCUCCUCUCUGCUCGGCAGAUCAGACGCCACGUGUACCUGCCAGGCUAUCACCUGGUUAGUUGCAAUGCCACUUGGCUGUUUUGAGCUUCAGCUUUCCCAAGCUAUGGUUCCCACAUGCUGCUGCCCGGGGCACUUGUUAAAAACACAGGUUCCUGGGCUCCUUUGAAGAUUCC